Rhea pennata is the source of this 247-nucleotide long non-coding RNA. RefSeq lists it as uncharacterized. The record is from RefSeq and is a predicted model, not a curated record. The transcript is spliced from 3 exons. Lineage: Eukaryota; Metazoa; Chordata; Aves; Rheiformes; Rheidae.
GCUUGGGAUGGAAAUACCUUGUUCAGUGCAAGAACAGAACAAAAAUUCUGAAGACUCUCUAAGACUGUGAAUGAACUUCAAAGGAAGUACUAAAGACUAUUUAAAAUUGGAAACUUUCUCCACAUUGUACAAACUUUGCAUCUGUGAUCCUUGGGCCAUCUUCAUAACACUAUUACUAAUGCAUGUUCAAGAAACCUUUCAGCUUCAUCCUUUUAAUCUGUCUCACCAACGCCUGCGCACCCGCCCU